GAUGUGGGAGCUGCAGGCUGACGGCGGCGGAGGCGGGAACCGGGAAGUGGGGAUGAGGCAGUGGGGACUGAGUCCUUCACUAGUGCCCCAAUGACACCAACAUGCCUUGUGAGAGUCUGACAGGAGGUAGAAAUUCAACGUCCCUGCCCAAGACUUCAGAUCCUCUCCAAGUUGGGUCCUAGCUGUGACAGAGGAUGGUAAUGCUGACAGCCUAAUAUGGUUAGCAGCAGGUACGAUGGCAUUUGAGUCAGAACUGAUGACUGGGACUGUAGAAUCUCCCAGCCUUCACCUGUUUGGAGUCUGGAGUCUGCUGCAGCAUCACUGGUGCUCCCCAUGGAGCAAACAGGAGCAGAGAAAGGAGGGGUGCUGCCUCGCUGGCAAUUAGCCAGCAACUGCCACUCCCCAGCUUCCCAGCCACAUGAAAGACUAAGGGAGAAGAGCUCAUCCAGAGCUGAAGGAGGCCAAGAGGCCCAACUUACAGUUAGUUCAUCAGUCCUUCUCCCUCCCUCUGACUGCAAGUGGAGUUAAGUAAAAGCUGAAAUUGUAGCCACCCACUCUGUGGGUUGCACACUCCCA
Long non-coding RNA from Hyaena hyaena (striped hyena), 576 nucleotides. RefSeq lists it as uncharacterized. The record is from RefSeq and is a predicted model, not a curated record. Lineage: Eukaryota; Metazoa; Chordata; Mammalia; Carnivora; Hyaenidae. The transcript is spliced from 2 exons.